UAAGAGGUUUGAAUCUGAGGUCAUGUGCUCAGAAGCUCCAGAAUCCAAAAUCCAAGAGACAUGGUCAAUAGAAACACUAACAUAAGGCUUAGUAUGAGGAAAAGCAUUAGAAAUACUAGCACAAUUAGCAAUAGGACUGUCUGAAGAAACUUGUUCCCCUGGAGAUCCAAUUUUCACAUGUUGCAGUAGUUGACAAAGAUUGAGAUACUGAUCAUGUAUCAUUGGUAUAUCUCAUAAGCUGUUAGAGUGAGAAUCACCUUCCUCACUAGUGAGAGCAACAUUGCUUUUUGCACCUGUCUCAAUUCUCCUAGACUUGGUGAAUUUAAAAUCUGCAGGAAAACCAAUUAGCCUAUAACAAUUGUCUACUACAUGAUUUUUAUUUUUGCAAAAAGAAAGUUGCCUCUGAUGGCUGCUAAUGAUCUGUACCUCCCUUUGCUUUUUAUCUCGGAUCAGCAAAGAGUAGGCAAGGUUGACUGAGGGAAGUGGAGAGAUCAUCAGUAAGUUGCUCCUUGAUCCAGAGUAAGCAUCAUUCAGGCCCAUAAGAAACUGAAUUAGCCUGCUAUCCUGCUGAGACUUGGAGGUCUUCUCUUUUCCUGCCCAUAAACAAGCACAGGUACAGUGUUGGCAAGUAUCCAAACUAUCAAGCUCAUCCCAGAGCCUUUUUAGCCUGGUGUAGUAAGCUGCCAUGUCAAGAUUUCCUUGAGUCAACUCACUGAUUUGUUGUUGCAGUUGAUAGAGCUGAGGACCAUUUGUCUGACCAAACCUUUCCUCUAGCUCAUUCCAGAUAUACCCAGCAGUCUUGGAGUAAAACACACUCUCAGCUAUUUCCCUCGAGAGUGCAUUGGGCAGCUAGGAGAUAACCAUAUCAUUGCAUGUGCUCUAAGAUUUAUACCUCUCAGUUGAGAUCUUGGGCUCAACAAUAGAACUAUCUAUGAAGCCUAACUUAUUUUUAGCAGAUAAGGCAAUGAGAAUCCCUCUCUUCCAACCUACAUACCCUUUGCCUGUGAAAGGGUGUUCACAAACACCAUCCCUGGUGAAUCAGAGGAAUGGAUGAAGAAAGGGUGUGAAGAAUCAAUGUCUAAUUUCAAGACAUCAGUGUGAGAACCACCAACUCCAGUUUCAGCAAGGGGAGUGGUUUCAGGUAAAACAAGUGAAUUGGGAUCCCCCAUUUGAAAUGAGGAUGAAUGAUGAGCAAAAGAAUGAUAUGAGCUUCAAAGCUCUGAUACCAUGUAAGAAUGGCAGAACGCAAAUAGAGAGUUUUGUGAAAAUUUUCUUUGAUUACUUCACUGCAAGGAAUGGCAAUAUAUACAAGUAUAAAAGAUAAACAACAACACAACUCAUACUAGUUUAAAUAACAACAAACUCAUACUAGUUAUAAUAAUAAUAAAGCUCAUACUAGUUGAAGGGGAACCUUGAAAUAACUGGUAAAGUUGUUUUUAUGUGAUCAGGAGGUCAUGGUUUCAAGCCUUGGAAACAGUCUCUAGCAGAAAUGCAAAGUAAGGUUGCAUACAAUAGACCCUUAUGGUCGGGCCCUUCUCCGGACUCUGCGCAUAGCGGGAGCUUAGUGCACCGGGUUGUCCUAAGGAUAAUAAAAGGAAGCUUGUGAUCUAUCUUCAUUUCAACUAUGAGCAGAGAAGCCAUGAUUCUCUUCUUAAAUCUACCGCAAAUAACUUUGAAUCACCAGCUUCUUCUUGAUAUUUUUAGUGCCUAAAUUGAGUUGUUGAUGUGAUAAACAGUUUAUUUCCAACAUGGUCAACGCAAUUGAGGUGUGUUUUCAUGUAUGAAAAUCUUGAAUAAGUGA
Long non-coding RNA from Solanum dulcamara, 1801 nucleotides. RefSeq lists it as uncharacterized. The transcript is spliced from 2 exons. The record is from RefSeq and is a predicted model, not a curated record. NCBI's taxonomy places the organism in Eukaryota, Viridiplantae, Streptophyta, Magnoliopsida, Solanales, Solanaceae.